AGCCACUGCUUGGGAAAUGGCCAGAUGACCUUAGGGUUCCCAAGUGAACAGGGGUGAGUCAGCAGGUGAGAAGCUGCCGCUCCCCUGCACCUGUGUUGCUGGGUGCAGGCCAGAGAGGAAAGUGAUGAGAAUCGCUGCAGCCGGUGCCUCUCACCACCCCACGAGGAGGAAGAGGAAGCCUUUCCUGUCAGUAGAUAAGGAGGAAGGGCUGGCCUGCAAGGUGGUAUGAUGACAUAACAGCCCCCAGAGACCUUUAGACGUCCACAGCAACUCUGUCCUGCUGUCAGUGACACGCAACUGGGACUUUCUGCACGACGUUGCCUGACUGGAGCCUCCCUAUCUAAGCCGGUGGUCUCGUAGGCUGCACGGUCCUCUCUGCUUUGUUCAGUCGGAGGCGAUGGAGCCUUUGCCCUGGGGAGCCGAGAAGGUGGAUGUUAAAGAGAACCGCUCAUGUCAGCAUCUGGCAUUUACCCCCUCUGUCACCCGGAACAAGUAACCCGGCUACUUUGCUUCAGUGCCCAAUAUGAGAUGGAAUCUUAAAGCAGCUGGAUUUUGUCUGCUGCACCUUUUAAAGAACGGCUUUGAGGUUUUCACUCCAACAUCUGACUCUCCAGUCUUUAUUGGAGCAAGAGUUAAGAUGGGAGAGGCAGAAAAAUCCAACUGAAUAAAGCUUUCAAAAUGAAAAGGCAGGUCAAGUUCAACCCAGGAACACCUCUCCCAGUGCUUUCCCAACUAGUUAAGGUACAAGACCGAAGCUAGCCCAGCUCCCAGUCAGUGCCGAGCAGAGUGCUGUUAAUAUUGUUAUGGUUAAUGUGCAUCAAACAUUAGUUUUCUGAACUGGAGAAUUCCCACUGUUGACACUUUCUCACUGAACUCUCGUGAUUGCUUGGUUUCGUAGGCUGUUGGGCCCAAGAUACAUUUUGUUUUAAAUAAUCCUUCAUGAAAAAUUCAGCUUGCAGUCUAAUAUGAUUGAACUCAGACCGAGUUUGUUUUAUAAUGCAUUAGACUGGAAAGUCUAUGAGCAGUGAAUUAUUCAAGAUGUGUAGACAAACAAGGGACCUGUGCUCUCAUGUGGGAAGGAGUGAUCAAAGAAAUAAACAAAAUUUGAUGUGUCUUGUUAUCUCAUUUUAUUUACCUUUAAAACUCCUCCAAAUAUUAGAGGAAAGAAGUCAAUAUCAAUCUUCACCUCUGCCAGGUUCUGCACUUCAAUUAUUAAUUUGACCACAGUUCUCUGUACCACAUGCUCCACAACAAUAUUUCUGUGCCUUUAUUACAAAUGUUAAAUGUCAUUGGAUUUCCAAAUAUGACUCUCCACUGGCUAAUUUGGCUAACUUUAUUAAUAAGAGGAUUCUGAGGAGUAUGAAUGUCAGUAUGUCUGCAUGUAAGACUGAACUAUAAAUUCUUUCUACUGGAGGUGACAAGCAACAGCUGCUGUGAGACCAUAGGCAGUCACCUCUGGAAUUAACCCUGCAAGAACCACAACUUCACACAGUGGCAAACUGGUGUCAACUCCCAGGAAUUUCCAAAUGAAAUUCCCCCUCAGCAACAGCCUUACUAGUGAUUUUCACAGUGUAUGGAUGUUGUCUCUAUUAAUAUGUCCUCCAAACCCUUUACCCAUUUUGUUGUCCGUGUAACACUGUGGAUUCCAAAUUUCUGAAUAUAAGUCAAAACAACAAUCAGAAACUUUGACAUUGCAUGUCAAAUUGCUGCAAGAGACAGUCAAAAUAUCAUGCCUACUCUAAGAUAGAACAUUUCUAUGAGGAAAAGAGCUUGACUGUGUUUCUACUGGAAGAAGGAUGUGGUCUGGAGCAUUCCUGGGAGUGAAGCAAGAAAUGUGCUGCUUCAUACAGGAAGUCACAAACGACUCUUGGAACUACCUCUGGUCUUGUCUCCUUUGCACAACGAACAGUGGACCUGGUUAAGGAGGACAGCAGGACAGUUUCCAGGGGACCUGGUUGUCCAGGAGGACAGUGGGACAAUUUCCAGUGGGCCUGGUUGUCCAGGAGGACAGUGGGACAAUUUCCAGUGGGCCUGGUUGUCCAGGAGGACAGCGGAAUAAUUUCAGUUACUUGAGUGCUUUUGCAGGUUCCAUAGAAUGGAGUGGAGAGCAAGAGGAAAGCAGAAGGCAGCCUGAAGAAAGGAAGUUCCACAUGAGCUGGGGCUCCUUCCUAGAAAUGACAACACACAGUGACCUACUUAGCAAAUGAAAACAAACCAGAGGAAUUGGCCAAGGUCAGAGGGGAGUGCAUAUGCCUCCAGGUCCUGCCCAUACAAGCAGCUGUGGAGGAAUGAACGGCAGGCUGAGACUGGACUUCUGCCCUGCUCAGACAGCUGGAGCCUGAGAGAGGAGGUUGGGGAACACCAGGCCAAGGCUGGAGAACUUUUCCUUGGCCCAUGAAACAAUGGUGAGACAAUGCAUGGUGGGAAGUGAUUCCCAAGCUUUCCUCCGUACAGACAGCCUGAACACUGGGUACCUUGCCCAUGCUGCCCUUAAUAAAGAUGGUGGUGAAGUCAUAUGACCUGCCUGUUUUGACUUUAGCUAAGAUGGCAGCUAGACCACGUGGUUGCCCUUAUUCAAGCUGAUGUUGCCUGACCAUGUGUUCAUGUGGGUUUUUUCCCCCCCAAAAUAAACUGAACAGAUAAGGAACAGAUAAAUUGAAGCAUUUAAAAGUCAGUCAGAAAGAAACAUAGAUGGUUAUAUCAAUCAUACAUUUCCAUUCACACAUAGGAAAUAGACUUUGUGAAAGAAAGAUGGAGAAGUAACAGUGUAUCUGGGUGGGAGAGAGGAACCCUCUGGGCUGUGGCAUGGUGCGAGCGCCACAGGGGAAUGAACCAAAGCCAUGGGUUGGUGGCAGUGGUGGGGGGUGGGGGACCAUAGGCACAUUUUUCCACAAUGAGGUAUAAGGCCCAGUGGACUGACCUCCUGCAUCCCAGAGGGUCAGCAGGGGCCAUUGAUAAUGGCACAAGAUAGCCAAUGGACCAUCAUCACAAAGGCUAUGGGCCAUGGAGUUGAGUGGGCACAAACCGUCUCUAUAUGCCAUCACAUAGGGAUGGGGGCUGAGGGGCUUGGAGCCCAAAAGACAUGUGGUACCAGCAAGCAAAAGGAGAUGAAUUCUCACUCAUGGGAAAAGGGAAGGGAGACAUCUUACCAAUCUAGUAUGGUGAAGAGUCUCCGGUGGUGCUCCAGCCUGAAAAAAUGGUGGGUGGUACAGGAUCCCAGAGCUCCUCAGACUGCUGGUGGGUAUGAGAAAGCAGUGGGAUUGCCUGGCAAUGUUUGGCACCAAUGCUAUGAAUUAUUGCAUGGGGGAGACCCUGAGGGUAUCCCUGGUGUGCCGGGAAACAUGCUGGGCAGAUGCACACCGUAUGGGUAUGGUGGCAGAGGUGGCAGCCAGUAAUUCAUAACCCAGACUCUGCAUCCAUGUGGAGAGUUUAUUAUAAUAGAAGAUGAAGAGAAAGAUAGGAAAGACACACACGAGACACACACACA
Long non-coding RNA from Peromyscus leucopus (white-footed mouse), 3487 nucleotides. RefSeq lists it as uncharacterized. Lineage: Eukaryota; Metazoa; Chordata; Mammalia; Rodentia; Cricetidae. The transcript has 5 exons. The record is from RefSeq and is a predicted model, not a curated record.